This 73-nucleotide transfer RNA is filed under the name Apaloderma vittatum (bar-tailed trogon). It matches the Rfam family "tRNA". Rfam says of the family: Transfer RNA (tRNA) molecules are approximately 80 nucleotides in length. Their secondary structure includes four short double-helical elements and three loops (D, anti-codon, and T loops). Further hydrogen bonds mediate the characteristic L-shaped molecular structure. tRNAs have two regions of fundamental functional importance: the anti-codon, which is responsible for specific mRNA codon recognition, and the 3' end, to which the tRNAs corresponding amino acid is attached (by aminoacyl-tRNA synthetases). tRNAs cope with the degeneracy of the genetic code in two manners: having more than one tRNA (with a specific anti-codon) for a particular amino acid; and 'wobble' base-pairing, i.e. permitting non-standard base-pairing at the 3rd anti-codon position. Lineage: Eukaryota; Metazoa; Chordata; Aves; Trogoniformes; Trogonidae. The record is from Rfam by way of RNAcentral.
AGAUUGAUAGCUCUGUGGGUUGAGUGCAGUGCUGAGAACACCGAGGUCCGAGGUUCGAUUCCCGUUCAGUCCU